UACGUAGGGGGCAAGCGUUAUCCGGAUUUACUGGGUGUAAAGGGGGCGCAGACGGCAAUGCAAGCCAGGAGUGAAAACUACGGGCUUAACUUGUAGACUGCAGUUGAAACUGGUUUUCUUGAGUGAAGUAGAGGUUGGCGGAAUUCCGAGUGUAGCGGUGAAAUGCGUAGAUAUUCGGAGGAACACCGGUGGCGAAGGCGGCCAACUGGGCUUUAACUGACGCUGAGGCUCGAAAGUGUGGGGAGCAAACAGG
RNAcentral lists this ribosomal RNA (253 nucleotides) under uncultured bacterium. Its description in RNAcentral is "partial 16S ribosomal RNA". It matches the Rfam family "Bacterial small subunit ribosomal RNA", at positions 524 to 776 of the family's 1533-position model. The record is from RNAcentral.